Molecule: long non-coding RNA, 1008 nt
Filed under: Mus spicilegus (steppe mouse)
Lineage: Eukaryota; Metazoa; Chordata; Mammalia; Rodentia; Muridae
Description: lncRNA (ENSMSIG00000031762.1)
Source: RNAcentral
UCCCAUCCCUGGCCUCAGAUUCCUGAAUGUGUCCAAAUGAGGCUUAUUCCGGAAAAGCGAGUCGUGCAGAAAAAUACACUCACACCCUUAAACUGACAGCGUGAUUUAACUUUGCAAAGGACACUUAAAGUCUAAGUAUUCCUAGUACUUCAAAAUGUCUUCAAAUAUCUACUUAAAGAGAAAAAGGAUUUUGAAGAGCUCCAGGAUGCUCCAAUGUUUUCCUGCCCUAGGUUGACCCUCAAACGUUACGUCAUGUCCACAGGACGAUGUGGCCCAUGAAGAACCCUUUGGAACUGAGAAACAAGCUGUGUGCCCAUAUGUGAAACCACCAAGACCUCCAACACACUCACCUCUACUGACCUUAAAGAGACAAGAGGCCCCAGGACAUGAAGAGAUAGAGCAGUCGGGGAAAUCGAGGGCGUGAGGCUCACUCCAUGGCCCUGGCUGGAGUCCAUCUGAGGAUGCAGCUGCAUCAGCCCUAGUUUGGGGAUUACACGGAAGGGGGUCGCCCACCUUGGCUUUCCUGAUGCCACUGGUUAUCCUAUGCAGCCAUCAACAAGUCUGGAUCCCUCUGCACACGGUUGUGCUCUGCCUCCUCUAUGUAUGCUGAGAGUAUGGCCAGAGAUGGAGCGAAUCCUUCAGAACAGAGUCCAGGUGAUCUGCAAUCCAGAGACCCUCAACUUGCCCUGGGGGAGCCCAGGUUAGCUCCCAGCCAGACCCUGCUUCCAAAAGUCUUCAUGGUGGAAAGACUUUCAAUAACCUGGUGGCACUGCCCUCUGCUUGGGGGAACCAGGAGGUAAAUCUGGGACCCUUCAGCUCUUAGCGUCUGUGAGGUCUACUUGUAAGAAGUCCCCUCCCCCACUACCUCCCAGUUCUGCAGCUGAGACGGCUCUGCUCCCAUUUCAACCAGCACCGGAUCCAUUUAUAGCAUCAAUUUUAUUUGCUCCAGCCCCAGCUCCCUCCCGGCUCCCCAGGGGCACCCGAUCCAGAAUGCCAGGCCCUGCUUCC